GCUAACAACUACGAACUAUCUAGCUAGCUAGUUGUCCGAUGCUGGGGCUGCUGGAUUCUGCUCUUUACUUGAAGUGCUUGUCUCAGCGAACGUCAAUGUCGCCGAAUUAGAUGUGGCUUCCUCUAGCCUUUCCACACUCUUUUCGAGGACCCCCCAAAAACAAUCGACGAAAGAAGUAAACAACUCCAAGCAUCAUCCUAUUCGCCGAAAGGUACUCCCUAGUUUUAGCUACAUCAACUCAAACACGGACCUAUUUCCACACACGAGUUGAUACCGUUGAUUGGGGCGGGCUAAAGUGUAGAGAUACACGUCGCUUUAUCCGUUAUGGCACUGUACAACCUAACUGCACUGUGUGGCAGUUUUCAGUUGCGCACCAGUGACAAAUAAGGCUGCUCGCCAGAAACCCAAGUGCUGUAGCUAAGCUACUCUGUUGCACUGGCUGUGAAAAGUACCAAUCCUCAGCAGACCAGGGCUUCAAAGCAGAUUCCCAACAAGCAAGCAGAGGCGACAGUGGCAAGGAAAAACCUGCAGAGGCACCAGGCUCGAGAGGCAGUCCAUCUUCUUCUGGCUUGCCAAGGUGUUCGUGAAAUCGGCAGCAUCCUCUUCACAUUCCUCAUCAGCAUCUUCUGGUACCAGACAACAUCUGGUUGGCCUGGGCUGUGAGUGGGCUGUGUGUGAUGCUAGCCAUGUUCCUGGGAGCUCCUACCUAUCUCAUGAACGUAGAUGGUCAUAUGGAUAACUAUACGCAAGACGGAGGCUGCCCUCCAGACUUCAUCCAGUGGCCCAAGGAGAACUGCCCGACCAUUAACGGUGUCUUCAGGUGCUGCUGGUUCAGAGGAGGGUGGUGGUGCCAGCGCUGAGUGCAGCAGGGGCGCCAGUGGAGCAGCCUCCCAGGAAGAAGGUCUCUACCUGGGGAUCGAAAGGAACACAGUGGGCAUCCUGGCUGCCAUGGGGGUGUUCCAGGUGGAAUGGAUCCUUCAGUCCCUACGACUUCCCCUUUUGGACCGAGGUGGAGUUCUUCAUCACAACGUCCUAUAUCACAAUCAGCCCUUAUGUGUAUGGGAUAGGGAGUAACCUGUUUUCUGUGAAACACUUUAAGAAGUAAUGGAAGAAAGACUUUUUAGGCCUUAGGUGUCAGGUGUAAGCAAUUUUCUGUGCAGUAUGAUUAUGGGAUAAGGGAAUAACCUCUUCUCUGAAACAUGUAACAAAGUAAUUGUGGUAUAUUUAUAAACCCUCUGUGUUAGAUGUAGGUGAUUCUCUAUUUUCUCUGAAGUAAUUUUAAGAAGUCAAAGCACGGUUUUUAGACGUAAACUACCGGUCAAACGUUUUAGAAAUCCUACUCAUUCCAGGGUUUUUCUUUAUCUUUUACUAUUUUCUACAUUGUGGAAUAAUAGUGAAGACAUCAAAACUAUUAAAUAAAACAUAUGGAAUAAUGUAGUAACCAAAAGUGUUAAACGAAUCAAAAUAUAUUUUAUAUUUGAGAUUCUUCAAAUAGCCACCCUUUGCCUUGAUGAAAGCUUUGCAAACUCCUGGCAUUCUCAACCAGCUUCAUGAGGUAGUUACAUAGAAUGUAUUUCAAUUAACAGGUGUGCCUUAAAAGUGAAUUUGUGAAAUGUAUUUCCUUCUUAAUGCAUUUGAGCCAAUCAGUUGUGUUGUGACAAGGUAGGGGUGGUAUACAGAAGAUAGUCCUAUUUGGUAAAAGACCGAGUCCAUAUUAUGGCAAGAACAGCUCAAAUAAGCAGAGAAACGACAGUCCAUCAUUAAUUUAAGACAUGAAGGUCAGUCAAUACGGAAAAUGUCUAGAACUUUGAACGUUUCUUAAAGUGCAUUUGCAAAAAUCAUCAAGCGCUUUGAUGAAACUGGCUCUCACGAGGACUGCCACAGGAAAGGAAGACCCAGAGUUACCUCUGCUGCAGAGGAUAAGUUCAUUAGAGUUACCAGCCUCAGAAAUGGCAGCCCAAAUAAAUGGUUUGCAGAGUUCAAGUAACAGACACAUCUCAACAUCAACUGUUCAGAGGAGACUGCGUGAAUCCUGUCUUCAUGGUUGAAUUACUGCAAAGAAACCACUACUAAAGAACACCAAUAAGAAGAAAAGACUUGCUUGGGUCAAGAAACACGAGCAAUGGACAUUAGACCAGUGGAAAUCUGUCUUUUGGUCUGAUGAAUCCAAAUUCGAGAUUUUUGGUUCAAACCGCUGUGUCUUUUGAGACGCAGAGUGAACGGAUGAUCUCCGCAUGUGUGAAGCAUGGAGGAGGAGGUGUGAUGGUGUGGAGGGGCUUUGCUGGUGACACUGCCUGUGAUUUAUUCAAGGCACACUUAACCAGCAUGGCUACCACAGCAUUCUGCAGUGAUACGUCAUCCCAUCUGGUUUGCGCUUAGUGGGACUAUCAUUUUUUCCCCAAAAGAACAAUGACCCAAAACAAACAUCCGGGGUGUGUAAGGGCUAUUUGACCAAGAAGGAGAGUGAUGGAGUGCUGCAUCAGAUGACCUGGCCUCCACAAUCAUCUGACCUCAACCCAAUUGAGAUGGUUUGGGAUGAGUUGGACCACAGAGUAAAGGAAAAGCAGCCAACAAGUACUCCGCAUAUGUGAGAACUCCUUCAAGACUGCUGGAAAAGCAUUCCUCAUGAAGUUGGUUGAGAGAAUUUCAAGAGUGUGCAAAGCUGUCAUCAAGGCAAAGGGUGGCUACUUUGAAGAAUCUAAAAUAUAUUUUUAAUUGUUUAACACAUUUUUUUUUGUUACUACAUGAUUCCGUAUGUGUUAUUUCUUAGUUUUGAUGUCUUCACUAUUAUUCUACAAUGUAGAAAAUAGUGAAAAUAAAUGUAAAAAACCUUGAAUGAGUAGGUGUGUCCAAACUUUUGACUGGUACUGUGUGUGUGUGUGUGUGUGUGUGUGUGUGUGUGUGUGUGUGUGUGUGUGUGUGUACAGUUGAAGUCUUAAGUUUACAUACACCUCAGCCAAAUACAUUUAAAUUGUGUUUUUUGCAAUUCCUGACAUUUAAUCCUAGUAAAAAUUCCCUGUCUUAGGUCAGUUAGGAUCACCACUUUAUUUUAAGAAUGUGAAAUGUCAGAAUAAUAGUAGAGAGAAUGAUUUAUUUCAGCUUUUAUUUCAUUCAUCACAUACCUAGUGGGUUAGAAGUUUACAUACACUCAAUUAGUAUUUGGUAGCAUUGCCUUUAAAUUGUUUAACUUGGGUCAAACGUUUCAGGUAGCCUUCCACAAGAUUCCCACCAUAAAUUUGAUUAAUUUUGGCCCAUUUCUCCUGACAGAGCUGGUGUAACUGAGUCAGGUUUGUAGCCCUCCUUGCUCGCACACGCUUUUUCAGUUCUACCCACAAAUGUUCUAUAGGGUUGAGGUCAGGGCUUUGUGAUGACCACUCCAAUACCUUGACUUUGUAUACCCAUUUUGCCACAACUUUGGAAAUAUGCUUGGGGUCAUUGUCCAUUUGAAGAUCCAAGCAUUAACUUCCUGACUGAUGUCUAGAUAUGUUGCUUGAAUAUAUCCGCAUCAUUUUCCUUCCUCAUGCAGCUAUCUAUUUUGUGAAGUGCUCCAGCCCCUCCUGCAGCAAAGCACGCCCACAACAUGAUGCUGCCACCCCUGUGCUUAAUGGUUGGGAUGGUGUUCUUCGGCUUGCAAGCCUCCCCCUUUUUCCUCCAAAUAUAACGAUGGUCAUUGUGGCCAAACAGUUCUAUUUUUGUUUCAUCAGACCAGAGGACAUUUCUCCAAAAAGUACAAUCUUUGUCCCCAUGUGCAGUUGCAAACCGUAGUCUGGCUUUUUUUAUGGAGGUUUUGGAGCAGUGGCUUCUUCCUUGUUGAGCGGCCUUUCAGGUUAUGUCGAUAUAGGACUCGUUGUACUGUGGAUAUAGAUACUUUUGUACCUGUUUCCUCCAGCAUCUUCACAAGGUCCUUUGCUGUUGUUCUGGGAUUGAUUUGCACCUUUCGCACCAAAGUACGUUAAUCUCUAGGAGACAGAACGCGUCUCCUUCCUGUGUGGUAUAACGGCUGCGUGGCCCCAUGGUAUUUAUACUUGCAUACUAUUGUUUGUACAGAUGAACGUGGUACCUUCAGGCGUUUGGAAAUUUCUCCCAAGGAUGAACCAGACUUGUGGAGGUCCACAAUUUAGCUGAUUUGUUUUUAUUUUCCCAUGAUGUCAAGCAAAGAGGCACUGAGUUUGAAGGUAGGCCUUGAAAUACAUCCACAAGUACACCUCCAAUUGACUCAAAUGAUGUCAAUUAGCCUAUCAGAAGCUUCUAAAGCCAUGACAUAAUUUUCAGGUAUUUUCCAAGCUGUUUAUAAGCACAGUCAACUUCGUGUAUGUAAACUUCUGACUCACUGGAAUUGUGAUACAGUGAAUUAUAAGUGAAAUAAUCUGUCUGUAAACAAUUGUUGGAAAAGUGACUUGUGUCAUGUACAAAGUAGAUGUCCUAACCGACUUGCCAAAACUAUAGUUUCUUAACAAGAAAUUUGUGGAGUGGUUGAAAAACGAGUUUUAAUCACUCCAACCUAAGUGUAUGUAAACUUCCGACUUCAACUGUAUAUAUAACAUUGAACUCUGUCUAUGAUUGAAUGUAUGACACAGAGUGCCCAUGACACAGAGUGCCCAUGACACUUGACAACAAUGAAAAUAAGUCUUGACUUUUUGUUUAUGUAACCUCAACAGGUUUGGUAUAUGUAUCUGUUGCCUGGUGCAACAUUUUGUGUAUUUUAAAUUGUCAAAUAAAAUCAUACUGGGAACUAUC
Long non-coding RNA from Oncorhynchus tshawytscha (Chinook salmon), 4737 nucleotides. Lineage: Eukaryota; Metazoa; Chordata; Actinopteri; Salmoniformes; Salmonidae. The record is from Ensembl.